This is an RNA transcript of Neofelis nebulosa (Clouded leopard), 3428 nucleotides long. It is a transcript of the gene named cadherin-10, with no coding region annotated. The record is from RefSeq and is a predicted model, not a curated record. Lineage: Eukaryota; Metazoa; Chordata; Mammalia; Carnivora; Felidae. The transcript is spliced from 14 exons.
UGUGCUAGCAAAAGCCGGCACUUCCCCACUCUCUAACCUUCCCAUGGCGAGGACUGCCGCUCUAUCAGCAGAACCUUUCUCUCCGCGUGAGGAAGGGCUUUUUUCCCCUCCUCUCCUUUUUCUCCCUUCCUCUUAAUCAGAAGCACUGAAUGAAAGCCAAUCAGAGAGAGCUCGCCCCCGUUUUCUUCGGUUCCCUGCCGUCCAGAGUUGAAAGUAAUGCUGAGAGAAAGCUUGAGUUAGAUUGGAGUAGCAUCAGUGAUAGAAAAUAACAGCCGAAAACAAACAAAAAGGAGACACAGUGACAAUUUCUCCAGGGUUAUUUUGGCUGGAACCAACUUCCGUUAUCCAGAAGCUGCCAAAAAAAAAAAAAAAAAGCUUUUGGAAACAUGUCCAAAACAUUGAUGAGAUGUUGGAAACCAGUUGAAACACAGUAAAAUUCAACUCAAUAAAAUAGGACUGCUUUCUCUUCAUCCACGUUGGAAAUUUUCAAGAAGUGAACUAUGACAAUAUACCAAUUUUUGCUACUAUUUCUACUCUGGGUAUGCCUGCCACAUUUCUGUUCUCCAGAGAUAAUGUUCAGAAGGACUCCUGUACCCCAGCAAAGAAUUUUAGGUGCACGUGUACCUAGGAGUGAUGGCAAAAUUCUGCAUCGUCAAAAACGUGGGUGGAUGUGGAAUCAAUUUUUCUUACUGGAGGAAUACACAGGAUCUGAUUACCAAUACGUGGGCAAGCUUCAUUCAGACCAAGAUAAAGGAGACGGAUCACUCAAAUAUAUUUUAUCUGGAGAUGGAGCAGGUACUCUUUUUAUUAUUGAUGAAAAAACAGGUGACAUUCAUGCCACAAGAAGAAUUGAUAGGGAAGAAAAAGCCUUUUAUACUCUGCGUGCACAAGCUAUUAACAGAAGAACUUUGAGACCAGUAGAACCAGAAUCUGAGUUUGUGAUCAAAAUCCAUGAUAUCAAUGACAAUGAGCCAACGUUCCCAGAAGAAAUUUAUACAGCAAGUGUUCCGGAAAUGUCUGUUGUAGGUACUUCCGUGGUGCAAGUCACAGCUACAGAUGCGGAUGAUCCUUCCUAUGGGAACAGCGCCAGAGUUAUUUACAGCAUACUUCAAGGGCAGCCAUAUUUCUCUGUGGAGCCUGAAACAGGUAUCAUCAGGACUGCUUUACCAAACAUGAACAGAGAAAACAGGGAGCAGUACCAAGUGGUAAUCCAGGCCAAAGAUAUGGGCGGCCAGAUGGGAGGCUUAUCAGGGACCACAACGGUGAACAUCACACUGACAGAUGUAAAUGACAACCCACCUCGCUUCCCCCAGAACACCAUCCACCUUCGAGUUCUUGAGUCCUCGCCAGUUGGCACAGCCAUUGGAAGUGUAAAAGCAACUGAUGCAGACACUGGGAAAAAUGCAGAAGUAGAAUACCGAAUUAUUGAUGGUGACGGGACCGACAUGUUUGACAUCAUAACUGAGAAGGACACACAGGAAGGCGUUAUAACGGUGAAAAAGCCACUUGACUACGAGAGCCGAAGACUUUACACACUGAAGGUUGAAGCAGAAAAUACCCAUGUGGACCCACGUUUUUAUUACCUGGGACCAUUUAAAGAUACAACGAUUGUGAAAAUCUCCGUAGAAGAUGUGGAUGAACCUCCUGUUUUUAGCAGAUCCUCCUACCUGUUUGAAGUUCAUGAGGAUAUCGAAGUGGGCACGAUCAUUGGUACUGUAAUGGCAAGGGACCCAGAUUCCGCUUCUAGCCCCAUUAGAUUUUCCUUGGAUCGCCAUACUGACCUUGACAGGAUCUUUAACAUACAUUCUGGAAAUGGAUCCCUUUAUACUUCAAAGCCACUUGACCGUGAACUAUCUCAAUGGCACAAUCUAACUGUUAUAGCUGCUGAAAUCAACAAUCCCAAAGAGAUGACUCGUGUGGCUGUUUUUGUCAGAAUUUUGGAUGUUAAUGACAAUGCCCCACAAUUUGCAGUGUUCUAUGACACUUUUGUAUGUGAAAACGCCAGACCAGGGCAGCUAAUACAGACCAUAAGCGCAGUAGACAAAGACGACCCUUUAGGUGGACAGAAAUUUUUCUUCAGUUUAGCUGCUGUCAAUCCCAACUUCACAGUACAGGAUAAUGAAGAUAAUACUGCCAGAAUUUUAACCAGAAAAAAUGGAUUCAAUAGACAUGAAAUAAGUACCUAUCUCUUGCCCGUGGUGAUAUCAGACAAUGAUUACCCAAUUCAGAGCAGCACAGGCACGCUGACCAUCCGAGUGUGUGCUUGCGACAGCCAAGGCAACAUGCAGUCCUGCAGCGCUGAAGCUCUGCUCCUCCCUGCGGGUCUCAGCACAGGGGCCCUCAUCGCCAUUCUCCUCUGCAUCAUUAUUCUGUUGGUUAUAGUAGUACUGUUUGCAGCUCUGAAAAGACAGCGAAAAAAGGAGCCUCUGAUCUUGUCUAAAGAGGACAUCAGAGACAACAUCGUGAGCUAUAACGACGAGGGUGGCGGAGAGGAGGACACCCAGGCCUUUGAUAUCGGCACCCUGAGGAAUCCUGCAGCGAUCGAGGAGAAGAAGCUUCGGCGAGACAUCAUCCCGGAGACGUUAUUCAUACCUCGCAGGACUCCCACGGCCCCGGAUAACACAGACGUCCGCGAUUUCAUUAACGAAAGGCUGAAAGAGCAUGAUCUCGACCCCACCGCGCCCCCCUACGACUCCCUGGCAACCUACGCCUACGAAGGGAACGAUUCCAUCGCGGAGUCUCUGAGCUCCUUAGAAUCGGGGACCACUGACGGAGACCAAAACUACGAUUACCUCCGAGAGUGGGGCCCCCGGUUUAACAAGCUGGCCGAAAUGUACGGUGGCGGGGACAGUGACAAAGACUCUUAACCUAGGCUAUCAAUUCCGUUCCAACAAGAGGAGGAAGAAGAAGUUUCUUCAUGGACUGUCUUGGUACAAAAGUCCACUGAAUGCAGGUCACUACACAAUCCUUAGCCUGCAAUUGUCUGUCGUGAUUUGCAAGCAUUCCAAAUAUGGUGCUUAAUGGAAGGUAGAUCUGGAAAAAGAAGAAGGAAGACACUGACAUACUUUGCUUUACAUAUUGCUGGUAGCUAAUUAUCCAUAUGAGCUCCAGAACUGUCCCAUUCUUACUCUGCCAUAUGGCAUCGGCUGUGCUUGCUUGUCUUAGUGAGCCAACAGUAGGGUAAGAUGCCUCUUGUCAACUUGCAAAGAAACAACAAUACAGGUAAUAUCAUUUCUCCAGCCGGUUCUGUCAUAAUGUGUGCCCUCUUGUCUUCUCCCACACAAGGGCAGUGGCUGCUCCAGUGUUGGGUUCUAUUCCUUCCAUUCCUCCCACAUAGGCUUCUCAUAUAUUCUCACAAAGUUAUCAACAUUCAGUGGUAUUAUUAAGGCCAGUUCCAUCAAUCUCACAUUCUCUCAUGGGAGCUGAUA